CAUCGCCUCUUGAUAUACAAACAUGAGAGGUCCCGCCUGCCCUGUGACCACAAGUUUAACGGCCGCGGUAUUUUGACCGUGCAAAGGUAGCGUAAUCACUUGUCUUUUAAAUGAAGACCUGUAUGAAUGGCAUAACGAGGGCUAAGCUGUCUCCUCUCCCCAGUCAAUGAAAUUGAUCUUUCCGUGCAGAAGCGGGAAUGAAAGCAUAAGACGAGAAGACCCUAUGGAGCUUAAGACACAAGGCAGCAAACGUUAAGACCCCUGGGCCAACAGCUACAACCAAGUUAGCGCCUGCCCCUUUGUCUUUGGUUGGGGCGACCGCGGGGGAACAAAAAUCCCCCACGUGGAACAGGACCUGCUCCUCAAGACCAGAGCCUCAGCUCUAGUAAACAGAAGAUCUGACCAUAAAGAUCCGGUAAUACCGAUCAACGGACCGAGUUACCCUAGGGAUAACAGCGCAAUCCCCUUUCAGAGCCCAUAUCGACAAGGGGGUUUACGACCUCGAUGUUGGAUCAGGACCCCCUAAUGGUGCAGCCGCUAUUAAGGGUUCGUUUGUUCAACGAUUAAAGUCCUACGUGAUCUGA
Molecule: ribosomal RNA, 584 nt
Filed under: Pomatoschistus marmoratus (marbled goby)
Lineage: Eukaryota; Metazoa; Chordata; Actinopteri; Gobiiformes; Gobiidae
Description: partial 16S ribosomal RNA
Rfam family: Bacterial large subunit ribosomal RNA
Source: RNAcentral